GCCGGGUGUGGUGGUGGGCACCUGUAAUCCCAGCUACUCAGGAGGCUGAGGCAGGAGAAUUACUUGAACCCAGGAUACAGAGGUUGCAGUGAGCCGAGAUCGUGCCACUGCACUCCAGCCUGGGCGACAGAGUAAGACUCUGUCUCAA
Molecule: non-coding RNA, 148 nt
Filed under: Chlorocebus sabaeus (green monkey)
Lineage: Eukaryota; Metazoa; Chordata; Mammalia; Primates; Cercopithecidae
Source: Rfam by way of RNAcentral